This 1210-nucleotide long non-coding RNA is filed under the name Triticum aestivum (bread wheat). Its description in RNAcentral is "long non-coding RNA (TAES_LNC011007)". Lineage: Eukaryota; Viridiplantae; Streptophyta; Magnoliopsida; Poales; Poaceae. The record is from RNAcentral.
CAACAUUAUAAACAUCAAAAUCAAAUGAGUACAAUUUUUCAAGAUUUUCUUUAGAAAAGAGAUGCAGAUAUAGAUGGCAGCAAACACCGCAACAUUAUAAACAUCCAAAUCAAACGUGAUUUAGCAAGUCAAAGAAUUCGUGGCAUUCACCAAGUACUGAAACAAAAUCUAAUAAUAUCAAAAUCGAAAUGAACAGAGUGUUUUGUCUGUCAUGGCGUCCAAAUCAGAAGAUAGCCCAACAACAAAAGAGUGUUUUACAUGAGCUGGUCAAUCCGAGAAAGAAUAUAUACACUUCCCAUGUUCCCAAAGCAACAAAAGAAAUCUCAAGUUACAGCACCAGAAAUACAGCCAAACAUUGCAACCAAAUCCCCACACGCACCGAGACAAAGAGAGAGGGAGGUAUCGAUCCAGUCCAGAGCUCAGAUAAGAUCGGCGACGUUCAUGGGCAUCUCGUCGAUCUGCGUGCUAUAGUACUGCUCGAUGUUCCGAAGGAUACGGAUGUCGUCCUUGCGCACAAAGUUGAUCGCCACACCCUGCCGUCACGGCACACAAAAAAAAUUCAUGCAAAUCAAGAGUAGGCAGCAUUUUGGAUGCAAAGAACAAACAUUUAGUUGGGAUUAGUCAAUCCUUGCAUAUUCACUUUCCACAAGAGUUUUAAAACCAAAAAAGUGUUGAAUCACCAAAAUUACUUCAAUUGUUUUCUUUACUGAGACAGCAUCAUAUUUUUAAUUGUUUUUAGCAACACAGAAACUAUAACCAAAAUUCUCUAGCCUAAACUAACAACUGGUAGGUACAAGAGAGGCAGCCACAAAAGAGGAAUGACUAAGCUAUGAAGCAGGAGUGUGAACUUUACCUUGCGCCCAAAACGCCCAGAGCGACCAAUACGAUGGAUGUAAAGCUCACGGUGGUUGUUCGCGAGAUCGUAAUUAAUGUCAAGAGAGACCUGAAACAAAUCCAAACAGACUCAAGUGAGUAAUCAAAGAUGAGCAUCAUCAUGCAACGGCGUGCUUAAAGGUAACCAAGAAGUGAAAGCAAACAAGACUUGUCUGCUGGACAUCCAGCCCUCGAGCCCAAACAUCGGUUGUGAUCAGAACACGGGUCGUGCCACCCUAAACUCACUCAUGAUCGCAUCCCUUUCCUUCUGAGGCAUGUCACCGUGCAUAGCUGACACCGUGAAGUUGUUGGUGCGCAUCCUUUCAGUAAGCCAAUC